AUUGAACGCUGGCGGCAGGCCUAACACAUGCAAGUCGAGCGGAUGAAGGGAGCUUGCUCCUGGAUUCAGCGGCGGACGGGUGAGUAAUGCCUAGGAAUCUGCCUGGUAGUGGGGGAUAACGUCCGGAAACGGGCGCUAAUACCGCAUACGUCCUGAGGGAGAAAGUGGGGGAUCUUCGGACCUCACGCUAUCAGAUGAGCCUAGGUCGGAUUAGCUAGUUGGUGGGGUAAAGGCCUACCAAGGCGACGAUCCGUAACUGGUCUGAGAGGAUGAUCAGUCACACUGGAACUGAGACACGGUCCAGACUCCUACGGGAGGCAGCAGUGGGGAAUAUUGGACAAUGGGCGAAAGCCUGAUCCAGCCAUGCCGCGUGUGUGAAGAAGGUCUUCGGGUUGUAAAGCACUUUAAGUUGGGAGGAAGGGCAGUAAGCUAAUACCUUGCUGUUUUGACGUUACCAACAGAAUAAGCACCGGCUAACUUCGUG
This 484-nucleotide ribosomal RNA is filed under the name uncultured bacterium. RNAcentral describes it as "partial 16S ribosomal RNA". It matches the Rfam family "Bacterial small subunit ribosomal RNA", at positions 30 to 507 of the family's 1533-position model. The record is from RNAcentral.